This 253-nucleotide ribosomal RNA is filed under the name uncultured bacterium. RNAcentral's name for it is "partial 16S ribosomal RNA". It matches the Rfam family "Bacterial small subunit ribosomal RNA", at positions 524 to 776 of the family's 1533-position model. The record is from RNAcentral.
UACGUAGGGGGCAAGAGUUAUCCGGAUAUACUGGGUGUAAAGGGAGCGUAGGUGGUUCGGCAAGUCGGAUGUGAAAGCCCGGGGCUCAACCCCGGGACUGCAUUUGAAACUGCCGGGCUAGAGUGCAGGAGUGGUAAGUGGAAUUCCUAGUGUAGCGGUGAAAUGAGUAGAUAGUAGGAGGAACACCAGUGGCGAAGGCGGCUUACUGGACUGUAAAUGACACUGAGGCUCGACAGCGUGGGGAGCAAACAGG